Molecule: non-coding RNA, 302 nt
Organism: Drosophila virilis
Lineage: Eukaryota; Metazoa; Arthropoda; Insecta; Diptera; Drosophilidae
Source: RefSeq, a predicted model, not a curated record
UGUUUACCUGCCGUAUCCCUGGCAACUUGGUCCUUUAAAAACCAUUGUCAAAAUUUUGUGCAUAUUUCAUUCCCCCCUAUUGAUUAACGUGUUUAUUUACUCUCCAGAGAUUUGAGCCCUUUUGUUAAGCUUGCUUUUUAGCGCUCAUGUCGCCACAGUCUGAAAAGUUUUAUUUCGUUCAACUACUUAUUUCAUCGCCAAAUGGAUGUAAUCGACGGAAAUGUUGCAACUUUUAGUGUAACGAUUGUAUGUUAAUUAUAUAUCUGAUAUGAACGUAUCUCUUAAAACUUUCUGUUGGUAAA